This 9526-nucleotide long non-coding RNA is filed under the name Marmota monax (woodchuck). Lineage: Eukaryota; Metazoa; Chordata; Mammalia; Rodentia; Sciuridae. The record is from RNAcentral.
GUGUCCAAACUCCACCUGGGCCCAGGACCUUCUCUGUGCUGGCCUCUGAAGCACAGCAACCACAGCAGCACAGAAACAUCCCUGGGAAAUGACCGUGUGGCUGCACAGAGUUCAAGGGAAGCUGGGCAUCGUGGCCUGUGGGCUCCUGCUGCUCCUCCUCCAAGGCCAGGGUAAGGCUCACAUCGGGAUUGGGGUGUCAGACUCUGUGUUCCCAUCAGCCAAAUGGUGUAGAAGAAGAGACUGAGGCUGCAGGAAGGUAGGCUGGUGGAAAUGAUAGAGGACAGGACAGAGAGGAAUGUGCAGCCACCCUGAGCUCCACCUAAUGCCCAGAGUGACUCCCCUGAAGUGAUGACAGGGUCAGAAUUCUAUCACCAACACCAAGGAGAAGGCAGGGUAUGAGGGGAGACUGAGGAACCCAGAAGAGCAGGGCCAACUUCCCUGUCUCUGGACGGGCAUUCAGGACACUGAGUGCUGGCUGUGCUGGAGCUCCAGCUGCCAAUGGGAAAAACAGCCACUUAGGAACACCUUCCUGCUGCCAUUUGACUCUAGGUCAUGCCUUUGGCCAGAGGGGUGACCUGCCCAUCUCAAAGGGGUUCAAGGCAAGGUUACUUAUCUUAGGGGAAAUACAGAAGGUCCCAGGCACUGUGUCCUAAAGGGGAUCUGGGAUGUCACUGGAUUCCUCUCACCUUACACACCUGACCUAGAAAAAGGGAAUGGUUUGGCCACUAGGGCAAAGGUGAUGGGGCUCUGAGCCUACAGGUAGCAUCCAGGCCCUCAUCAGAUGUUAGGUAAGGUUGGCAGGAUGCCUGGGCUGUCCUUGGCUUGAUCUUCUCCAUAAAAGCCUUCUAAUGUGCAGCCACCCUUAUCUCCUGCUAUUCCUCCCCACUUUGCCAGGAGGAGUCCACACUCUCCUCUCCCCCAUGACACACCCACAGAGGGUCUUUCCCACUUCCCUGCUGUUGACCAGGCUCCUCUCAAAAGUCACUAGGACUUUCUAGACAAGGAGAGCUGCCCAAUUUCACUGAUGGCUGCCAUUAUAAAUAGUGUCUUGGCUUCACCCAUUCAGAAAUAUUCAUUAACAAAUCACAGGAGAGCACAGAUUUGGGUUCCACCCUCUUCUGUCCCCACCAAUCAUGAUGCCUUCACAGGGCCAUCAAGGCCUCUGGGUCUUACAUACAAUGCCCAGGACUUUAUGUGUGUGUGUGUGUGUGUGUGUGAGAGAGAGAGAGAGAGAGAGAGAGAGAGAGAGAGAGAGAGAGACAGAAAGAGAGAGAGAGAUUUUUUUUUCUCAUGCCUGGUUUCCAUCUACAUGACCACAACUCACCUUCUGGGGCACCAUGCUUUCCCACUGCCUAACACAGGAGUCACCUCACACUCUUACAUGGUGCAGCUUCCUCCACCAUCGAGUGGAAAGGAUGAUGUGCUGCUGACUUAACAAGUCUCUGAUCAGGGAUAUUUUAGCAGACUCUGUCCAUUGCUGUCUCAACACAAACCUGAGGAAUCUGGGACUGCUGUCUGUGUACAUUACAUGAAAAGAAAUUUCACCCAGUAAGGAAUUCUGUGUAGGCAGCAUGUUAUUGGGAAGAGGUACGUACCAUCCAUGCCCCUUUUGGGUACUGAGUGAAACCCAGGGUUGCUUUACCACUGAGCCAUGUCCCCCAGCCCUUUUCAUUAUAUUUUGAUACAGCAUCUCACUAAGUUGCUUAGGGCUUUGUUAAUUUUCUGUGGUUGGCCUCAGCCUCCUGAGUCGCUGGGAUUAUAGACAUGCAGUGCGUAUGGAGUGUGCCUUUUGACUUGGAACAUAUCUUAGUUCGAUUUGGGGUGCUAAAACAGUAUAACUGACCUGACACUGGAUGAUGUAUAAAGGAAAUAGAUUUAUUUAGCUCACAGCUUUAAAGCCUGAAAAUCUCUGCUCAGGUGACCUUCUCUAGUAGAUCUUCGUGAGGGACUUUCAGCUAUGUCAUAGCGUGUCAAUGGCAUGACAUAGUAGGACUUUGUAGGAGAGAGAUCACAUGGCGAGAGAGGAAGCAUUAAGACAGGGAAGAGGCCAACUUGCUCUGUUAUAAAAACUUAUACUCACCUCAAAGGAAUUAAUCCACUCCUGUGAGAUCUAAUAAUCCACUCUGAAAGACUAACAUUAAUCCCUUCACAGGGCAGUCCUGAGCCAAACACUAGGUCCUACUUCUGAAAGGUACCUCCUCACUGGGGAGAGUCAUCCACGAUAGGAACCUUUGGGGGUCAAACCAUAUCCAAACCAUACCAUUCUGCCCCCACCCCCAAGGUUCACAUUCUUCUUUUAAUAUAAAAAUGCAGUCAUUCCAUGCCUAUAGUCCUCAAAGGCUGAAGCCUUGCCAGCAUGACUCCAAAGUGCAAAGUCCCAAGUCCCAUCUGGGACUCAAGGCAAAUGUCUUCCAACAGGUUACAUGGUUUCAGGAAACAGCCUUGAAACAGGCACAGGGCAGAUAGUCCUGUUCCAAAAAGGAAGAAUAGCAAGUAGAAAGGGCUCCCAGACCCCCAGCAAGUCUGAAAACAACCAAAGAAGAUACUAGAUCCCCAAACUCCAAGUCCAGCCUCCUAGACACAGGGCAGUGUAUUGGUCCCCAGGGCCUUGGCAGCCCCGCCCCUGGGGUAAUGCUGGUUGCAGUCCACAUGGCUGCUUUCCUGGGCUGCUUGCCAUGGCCUGUGACUUUCCUAGGCUGGCAUUGACACUGCCAGUGACUCUACACAUCUGGGGUCUCAAAAGCAAUGGUCCCACUCUCAUGGCCUCACUAGGCAUUCUGGUGAAGAAUCUUUGCAGUGACUCCACUCCAACAGCAGAGCCUCCAGAACUGUCCUUUGAAACCCAAAGGGAGGCUGUUGUGACAGCAGAGCCCUUGGAUUCUCUGCACCUGCAAAAUAGCACCACUUGGGAAUCACCAAGGUCUGUUGCUUGCUCCCUUUGGAGCAGCAUCAGGAGUCAUGCCUGGGCUUUCGUGAACCAUGGUUGGACAGACCCAGAGCAUUUUGCUAGAACACAAGGAGCAGAAUCCUGAGACCAUGCUAGGGCUUCUUCCAUUGUCUUUGGGGCUCUUGAUGCAAGGACACCCUGGAAGAUUAUGUGUAGGCCUCAGGCCUUCUCUCCCAUGGUUUUGAAGCAGAGAGUCUGGCUCCUUCCCACCCAUAGUUAUCUCUUUUGCAUUCUCUGUAUUCUCACCCAAUCUCCCAUUUUGCUCUUUAGGUGGGCAGAUAUGAAAUUUCCAAUAAUUUAAGGUAUGCUUUCAUUUGCCAACUAUCAUUGCAAAUCUCACUUAAAAUGACCAAAAAUAACCACACAGCUUCUUCUAUAUUUUGCUCAUAAAUGUUGUUCUCUGAAUCUUCUAGGUCAUCAAUGUUAUAUUUGCCCUUCUGUAACAACUUUAUGCAUGAAUACAAUGUAGCCAAGUGUUUACAAUGAUCAAAGGGAUCCUUUCUUCUAAUUUCCACAGAUGGCUCCCACUUCCUUCUGAAACCUCCUUAGGAUGGCCUUUACUAAGCACAUUGCUAUCAGCAUUCUGAAUAUGACCACUUAACCAAUCUCUAUGAGGUUCUAGCUCCUUCCUAGUCUCUUCGUUAUCUGAACUUUCACCAGGAUUACAGAUAAUUCUCCAUUUACAGCAGUAUAAGACUUCUCUUUCUCAUCCUCCUCCUCUUCCUCCUUUUUCCUCUUCUCCUUCUUCUUUUUUGUUCAAGGGGUAUAACCCCAGGGGCACUUAACCACUGAGCCAUAUCCCUAGCCCUUUUUAUUUUUUAUUUUGACAUAGCAUCUCACUAAGUUGUUUAGGGCUUCACUAAGUUGCUGGUUCUGAAGCUGGCUUUGAACUUGCAAUUCUCCUGCCACAGCCUCCUGAACUGCUGAUAUUACAACUGUGCAUUAUUGCACCCAGCAACACAAAACUUUUCUUGACUGCUCCUCCAAACUCCUCCAACCUCUGGCUGUUAACUAUUUCCAAAGCCACUUCCAUAGUUUCAGGUAUUGUUUUAGUAACAACCCCACUCUUGGUAGUAAUUUUCUGUCUCAGACUGCUUUGUGUUGCUAUAACAAAAUAGCCAACACAAGGUAAUUAUAAAUAAAAUAUAGUUAUUUUGCACACAGUUUUAGAUACUAAAAAUCAAGAUCAGGUGGCCCUCUCUGGUCUGCCUCUGUUUUUGUUUUUGGUCUGUUGUUGUGGUUGACACUACUGGGGAUGGACCCAAGGAUGAUCUGCCACUGAGCAACAUCCAUAGCCCUUUUGAUUUUCACUUUGACACAGGCUCAUGCCAAGUUACUGAGCCUGGUCUCAAACACACAAAACGCCUGCCUCAACCUCCCAAGCCUCUGGUAUUACUGGAGUGCAUCACUUUGCCUGGCUCUGGUCUACCUCUGGAGAGGGCCUUGUAGCUAUGUCAUAAAAUGGCACAGACAUGAUGUAGCAGGAGUUUUUAUGAGAUAGAUCAUAUGGCAGAAGCAAAGCAAGAGACGAGAGUGGCCAGGCUGCUCUGUUAGAACAACCCAUUCUCACUUUCCAGAGAAUUAAUGCUCUCCUGUGAGAUCUAACCCUAAUCAUGAUCUAAUCACCUUCCGUUACACCCCACCCCUUUAUAGUCCCACCUCCUCAAUGCUGCCACACUGGGAACUAAACUUCCAGCACAUGAAUCACUGGUGAACAAACCACAUCCAAACCAUGGCAGAAAGAUGAUACUAGAUUGUCCUCUCUGGAGCCUUUACCUGGCUGCCACGCCUAGCCUCAACCACAGCAGUUGACACAUAUUGAUACAUUAGGAUCCACCCUGGGCAGGGCAGCAGGAGAUCCCUGAGGUUGUCCUUGUCUUUUGUUUUUUAUAAUGGAACCUGGCUCAGAUCUACCAAUUUCUGCAGAGGCAGAACGUGAGACUGUGAUGGGAAGUUGCAAGAAGUGGGAGCCACUGCAGGUGGCAACAAUAUCAGGGAGACAGUGCCUUACUGAACACCUCCCUGCACCCUAAGGCACAGAGCAAGAUGUGGUUGCCCAAGAGCUGCACAGCACAGAGGAUGAGCCUCAUAUGAGCCAGAGAGGAAAGGUAAUGAACCCAAUGUGCCCAUCAGCCACUUUCAACAAGUAUCAGGACUGUCGCAACCUAGAUUAUCUGAAAUGCACCCUGUACUUUGCACCAUUGUUCGAAAGCAACCCCAGCUUUCACAUCAUGGGUAAAUUUUUCAUGAGUUCCUACUGAAAAAAAAAGAAGAGGAAGAUUGAUAUAGAUAUUGAUAUGGAUAUCACAUAAGUAGACCGAUAAAGGUAUUUCUGCAAUACUCUGUGUUUUCACUAUAAUGAAAUAUCUACUUAAAUGUUCUAAUUUAUUAUACAAUGAUACUGAUACAGUCUUUACUAAAAAUCCAGAUUCAAAUAGGUUCAUAAUUUGCAAUUACUAGAUCAUAAUACCAACUUUGAAAAAUAAUUAUAUUCCACUCAUUUCUUUUUUAGUUUACACACAAAAUUCACCUCUUUUCCUCCAUGUAAACCUAACCCCACCAUACAUACCCUCUAGUCUGCUCUCUGUGUCUAUGUAUGGACUAAUUCUGGCCUGUGUCAUCAGAAUAGAAUCAGGAGGCAGUUGAGGAGAGUCACAGUGGGAUGGGCAGAAAGUUUCAAGUGAAUGUUGACAGAUCAGGGUCCCUCCAUAGGGCUGAGCUGAGGAGGGCCCACCAGGCCACAGUGCUGCAGGCCAACAGCUGAUGGGCAGACCUGAGCCUAAAGCGCAUCUCUUUGCCUACAGGCCAGGAUUCAGUCAGCCCCAUCCAGACCACCCACACCGGGCAGGGCAGGUGCAGGGCAGCCUCGUCCAUGUGAAGGGUUUCGAUGCGGGGGUCCACAACUUCCUGGGAAUUCCCUUUGCCAAGCCACCUCUAGGACCACUGCGCUUUGCAGCCCCUGAGCCCCCUGAAUCUUGGAGUGGUGUGAGGGAUGGGACCUCCCACCCGGCCAUGUAAGCUCUCCAGGGGUCUGGGAAACCUCAGAGGAACAGGUGCAGGUGCUUAUAGCUGGAGACUCUGUGGGAGGGAUGUGAUUCCCUGAGAGUCUCCUCUACCCAUUCACGUGACACCUAUGACAGGGAUUAUUUGGUCAACACAUGCAGCCAAUGUUUCCCAGACAGGCCCCUAGAGUCAUGAUUGCCCAGCCUCAGGGGGAGUGGGACGCAAGUGCUCAACAACCUUGAGGCCUCCUUGAGGACUGGGCUCCAUUCCAGCUUCCCUGGAGCCUGUGGCCUAGAACUUGGUGGGAAGAGUCUCUGGAGAAGGAUCAAGUGUGAGCAGGGUUGAGGGGGAGUGGGGACUGAGGGUGACUGAGAGCACCCAGACUCACUCUGGACCCACAGUCUGGUUUUGCCCACGGCACAGCUCCUGGAAUAACUGCUAUUAUCACCAGGUGUCUGCAGGAUGUGGCUAGGAAUACACUGGUUGUGAACCUCUUGAAUCUGACCCUCCCCCUCAUCCCAUGUCAGAGGACUGCCUGUACCUCAGCAUCUACUCACCUGCCCAUGCCCAUGAGGGCUCUAACCUGCCUGUGUCAAACCUUGGUCAGCUGCUGAGUGGGAGGACACCUGUUUUGCAAGAAGAUUUUUUAAAGAUGAGAGUAGCCUGAGCCCCACUGCAGUGUGGACCCUGAUAAAAAGACUCUUACUAAUAGGUUCAAGAAAACCUUCUUACUUGGGGUGAGUAACUGAGUCCUGGGCAUGGGAUUAUAGAGACCUGGAUGUCCUCAGAGGUCUUAGGCUGUGGCCCUAGGGUAGAUCCACUACACAGACAACCCAUUCAUACCAGGGAGAGACAAUCAGGAGCUCAAGGACUGAACUUUGACGUCACCCAAAUUCCUAAACAUUGAUUAUCUAUUGAGCUAAUAAAAAUGGGGAACACUGGUUAAUGUUUAUGUGAGACUUUCAGGGAGACACCCCUUUUAUUUCCAUCUCAAAGGACUUCUGGUAAUAAUACAGACAGACUUUGAUACAUGGGAAGACUCAAAGGCAUAAGUGGUCUUGGAUUUCUGAAUGAACCAGAGUCACUUGCCCAUAAGAAAUAUCAUGUCACCUGCUGGGGUGCUGCCCAUGUGGGUAACUACUCAAAGACUAUCAAAAAGUGGUGGAUAGUCUAGAGAGCAGCCCAGGGGGGGAUUUGAGCUGGGUGAGGGCUACGUGGCGUCUGUCUUUAUUUCCAAGAUAAUAGUAUGGAUCCAUGGUGGUGUCUUGGUGGUGGGCAUGGCUUCCAUAUGACGAUGAUUGUAUUCUGACAGCCAUUGAAAAUGUGGUGGUGGUCACUAUCCAGUACUGCCUGGGUGUUUUGGGCUUCUUCAGGUGAGCCUGGGACAGGGAUAGUCAAUGGGGACAGAAGAGACAGAUGAUGGUCCAGUGAUCCCUGUCCCUGCCACUUUUCAGCACUGAAGACCAGCAUGCCACUGGGACUACCUGGACCAAGUGGCUGCCCUACUCUGGCCCACUUUGGAGGCAACCUGAUCGGGUCACCAUUUUUGGCUAGUCUGCAGGUGGCACUAGUGUGUCCUCAAUGGGUGUCUCCAAUGUCCCAAGGACUCUUCCAUAGUGCCAUCAUGGAGAGUGGGGUGGCACUCUUACCCAAAAUCACUUACAUCUCAUCUGAGGUGGUUUCCAUGGUGAGUGUCCUCAACCACCAAAGCCAAGAUCCACAGCCUCGCCCCUCACCAUCAUAGCCACUUCUACUCUGUCUGUUCAGUGGGGACAACAACAGUUGGGGUAUCUUCAAAAUUGAUGUUGCUCCAAAGAUUGCUCAGGGGUUCAAGGGUCACCUUCCACACACAUCUACCUGACAGUGGUUGAUUUUGCUCUAUGGUUGGAAAGCUGCACCCUGGGAGAUUCAUCCAAAGAAGAACUAUCUAAACAGGUUUGAUGGCUCCUCUGGCUGACACCUGAGCUUCAGGGAGGAUAGAACAAUUUCAUAUCUGCAGCAAUCCACACACAACACCCUUUGAGAAUUAGGUGUCACCUGCACUCAUCUGGGACUUUAGACAACACUCGCCUCCAGCCUGGAGGGAUGAUCCAGACCCUGCCUGGUCCCUUUACAGAUGGUGGCCAACCUAUCUGCCUGUGGGAAGGUGGAGUCAGGGGCCUUGGUGAGCUGCCUGUGGGGAGCUGCCUAGUGGGGCAAGAGCAAAGAGGAAAUGCUGGCUAUUACCAAGAUCAGGCUGAAUUAUCAUGGGUACUGAGGAAUGGAAUGGAGACUAAGUGGAGCAGAAUGCUCAAGUGCCCUUUAAACUCUUGGGACAGUUACCUCAUUUCCAUACUAAUGUCUGCCUUUGAAUUGGUGGAACAGGCCUUGAAGAACUACUCAUGGUACAUUUUAGGGUGGACAUUUAGGAGUGAGCCAGUAAAGGUGGAAAGCACUCAGAGGAUAUCAGGAAUUUUCCAAACCUUGACCUUGCUUCCUGUCAUUGAGUGUCCCCUCAGGCCCUCAAGACUAUCUCUCAUGUGGUAGAUGGGACCUUCCUGCCCAGGCUUGAGGAACUUCUGGCUUUGGCUGGUUUUCAACAUGUCCCCAGCAUCAUUGGUGUCAACAAUGAAGAACUGAGUUGGCUUCUUGCCACAGUGAGGUCCAUCCUCCUACCCCUUGUGUCUGGGAAGCCCUGGGGAGAUUUUUACACAUUUGUUGCUCCAGGUUCCUCCAUCUCUAAAUCAAGACUUUCUGCCACCCAGGGCUCAGACACUGCUGACACCCAGAAGGAAAUGGACAGAGCGAUUGUGCAGUCUAUUCUUCAAAGCAUGUUGGCACAGUUGGUGAGGUUCCUGGGGUCCUGAAAAAAAAUCAAGAGGACUCCUGGCUCAGUGGUACACACCUGUAAUCCCAGUGACUCAGCAGACUGAGGCAAGAGGAUCACAAAUUCAACACUGUCCUCUGCAAUUUAGCAAGGCCCUGUCUCAAAAGGGCUGGGGAUAUAGCUCAGUAAUAGAGUGCCCCUGGGUUCAAUUCCCAGUAUUGACAAAAGAAAAAAGAAAUAGAGGGCAUACCAGAUAUCCUGCUCAUGCAACAAACCCCGGCAAAAAAGACUGACCUGUGUGUUUAAUAAUAUAUGAGGUCCCCCCACAACUGGGUCCUUUCAUCCAUUCCUUGUUCAUCCACCUACCCACAGACCUUUGCCUUCCUUCCCCAGAGCUUGCUUAAAGGACUUUCAAUGAUCCCCUGUGCUAGAUGUUGCCUGCUAACUUUGGUGACCUGUUAAUGGAGGAAUACAUGGGAGACAAUGAGGACACCCACACCUUCAGACUCUAGCUCCACAAAGUGAUGGUGGACUUAAUGUUUGUGAUUCCUGCACUCCAAGCAGCACAUUAUCAGCGUGGCCAUAUCUUUGCUGAAUUUUGGAUGCAAAGGAAUGCAGCUCACAAGUGUGGGUCCCAGGUGAGGUCUCUGGUGUCCUGGUUUCCACAUAUGUCUUUAUCAAACUCUGGAAGCAAUAUACUUGGUAGCCCUCAUAUAGAAAAUCCUCAUGGUUAGUGUAAGAGACAGACAUCACCUCUAUUUGACAAAUGA